RNAcentral lists this unclassified non-coding RNA (341 nucleotides) under Hevea brasiliensis (rubber tree). Lineage: Eukaryota; Viridiplantae; Streptophyta; Magnoliopsida; Malpighiales; Euphorbiaceae. The record is from RNAcentral.
GGACUACAAAUGUGCACGGUGAUGAGCUCAUCGUCACAACAACGAGUCCAUAUGAGCAGGCUGCAUUUGGAUCGAAAACUGAUUGGCGUGUGAGAGCAAUAUCAGCCACUAAUCUCUAUCUUCGUGUGAAUCAUAUUUACGUAAAUUCGGAAGAUAUAAAGGAAACUGGAUACACUUACAUCAUGCCAAAGAAUAUCUUGAAGAAAUUCAUCUGCAUUGCCGAUCUACGGACUCAAAUAGCUGGAUAUUUGUAUGGAAUAAGCCCCCCAGAUAAUCCUCAGGUUAAAGAAAUACGAUGUAUUGUAAUGCCACCCCAGUGGGGGACACAUCAGCAAGUUAAU